RNAcentral lists this ribosomal RNA (225 nucleotides) under uncultured Brucella sp. RNAcentral's name for it is "partial 16S ribosomal RNA". It matches the Rfam family "Bacterial small subunit ribosomal RNA", at positions 568 to 792 of the family's 1533-position model. The record is from RNAcentral. Lineage: Bacteria; Pseudomonadati; Pseudomonadota; Alphaproteobacteria; Hyphomicrobiales; Brucellaceae.
CGCGUAGGCGGUUUAGACAGUCAGGCGUGAAAUCCCGGGGCUCAACCCCGGAACUGCCUUUGAUACUGGAAGUCUUGAGUAUGGUAGAGGUGAGUGGAAUUCCGAGUGUAGAGGUGAAAUUCGUAGAUAUUCGGAGGAACACCAGUGGCGAAGGCGGCUCACUGGACCAUUACUGACGCUGAGGUGCGAAAGCGUGGGGAGCAAACAGGAUUAGAUACCCCCGUA